GUGGGUUUAGCUCAGUCGGUUAGAGCGCCGCUCUGUGGAAGCGGAGGUCGGGGGUUCAAAUCCCCUAAUCCACCCCA
RNAcentral lists this transfer RNA (77 nucleotides) under Deinococcus sp. Its description in RNAcentral is "tRNA-His". It matches the Rfam family "tRNA". Rfam says of the family: Transfer RNA (tRNA) molecules are approximately 80 nucleotides in length. Lineage: Bacteria; Thermotogati; Deinococcota; Deinococci; Deinococcales; Deinococcaceae. RNAcentral also lists the same sequence under 2 other names. The record is from RNAcentral.